GCCACCACGGCAUAGUGGUUUGAGCAUCAGACUACAAUCCUGGAGACCAGAGUUCGAUUCUCUGCUCAGCCA
Molecule: non-coding RNA, 72 nt
Organism: Phrynosoma platyrhinos (Desert horned lizard)
Lineage: Eukaryota; Metazoa; Chordata; Lepidosauria; Squamata; Phrynosomatidae
Source: the annotation of a GenBank genome assembly